Molecule: ribosomal RNA, 443 nt
Filed under: uncultured Porphyromonas sp.
Lineage: Bacteria; Pseudomonadati; Bacteroidota; Bacteroidia; Bacteroidales; Porphyromonadaceae
Description: bacterial SSU rRNA
Rfam family: Bacterial small subunit ribosomal RNA
Source: RNAcentral
UGAGGAAUAUUGGUCAAUGGACGGAAGUCUGAACCAGCCAAGUCGCGUGAAGGAAGACGGUUCUAUGGAUUGUAAACUUCUUUUGCCUGAGGGUAAAACGCGGUACGUGUACCGCCUUGUAAGUAUCAGGUGAAUAAGCAUCGGCUAACUCCGUGCCAGCAGCCGCGGUAAUACGGAGGAUGCGAGCGUUAUCCGGAUUCAUUGGGUUUAAAGGGUGCGUAGGCGGCUUGGUAAGUCAGCGGUGAAAUUCCAGUGCUCAACAUUGGCCGUGCCGUUGAUACUGCUGGGCUUGAAUGCGGAUGCCGUGGGAGGAAUGUGUGGUGUAGCGGUGAAAUGCAUAGAUAUCACACAGAACACCGAUUGCGAAGGCAUCUCACGAAUCCGCAAUUGACGCUGAGGCACGAAAGUGUGGGGAUCAAACAGGAUUAGAUACCCUGGGUAGU